GACGAACGCUGGCGGCGUGCUUAACACAUGCAAGUCGAACGCUGAAGCUCAGCUUUUGUUGGGUGGAUGAGUGGCGAACGGGUGAGUAACACGUGAGUAACCUGCCCCCUUCUUUGGGAUAACGCCCGGAAACGGGUGCUAAUACUGGAUAUUCACUGGUCUUCGCAUGGGGGUUGGUGGAAAGGGUUUUUCUGGUGGGGGAUGGGCUCGCGGCCUAUCAGCUUGUUGGUGGGGUGAUGGCCUACCAAGGCUUUGACGGGUGGCCGGCCUGGGAGGGUGACCGGUCACAUUGGGACUGAGAUACGGCCCAGACUCCUACGGGAGGCAGCAGUGGGGAAUAUUGCGCAAUGGGCGCAAGCAUGAUGCAGCGACGCCGCGUGAGGGAUGGAGGCCUUCGGGUUGUGAACCUCUUUCGCUCAUGGUCAAGCCGCAACAAUGGUUGUGGUGAGGGUGGUGGGUAAAGAAGCGCCGGCUAACUACGUG
Molecule: ribosomal RNA, 483 nt
Filed under: uncultured bacterium
Lineage: Bacteria
Description: partial 16S ribosomal RNA
Rfam family: Bacterial small subunit ribosomal RNA
Source: RNAcentral